GGCACUUGUGUGUUGUUGUUUUUUUUUUUUUUUUUUUUUUUACUUGUGGACCAAGACUUAAUGGACAGGUGCAGAAAUAAAUUCUAUUUUGCAACCCAGAGCUCAUUAUUCAGAAAGAGUUUUGGUGCAUACAAGAAGGAGUAUU
This is a small nucleolar RNA of Cavia aperea (Brazilian guinea pig), 145 nucleotides long. The record is from Ensembl. Lineage: Eukaryota; Metazoa; Chordata; Mammalia; Rodentia; Caviidae.